GAUGAACGCUGGCGGCGUGCCUAACACAUGCAAGUCGAGCGAUCUUAUUCGGAAGAGAGCGGCGGACGGGUGAGUAACGCGUGGGUAACCUGCCCUGUACAAACGGAUAACAUACCGAAAGGUAUGCUAAUACGAGAUGAUAUGCUUUUAUCGCAUGGUAGAAGUUUCAAAGCUCCGGCGGUAACGAAUGGACCCGCGUCUGAUUAGCUAGUUGGUAAGGUAACUGCUUACCAAGGCGACGAUCAGUAGCCGACCUGAGAGGGUGAUCGGCCUCAUUGGGAGCAAGACACAGUCCAAACACCUUCGGGAAGCAUCAGUGGGGAAUAUUGCACAAGGUGCGAAAGCCUGAUGCAGCAACGCCGAGUGAGCGAUGAAGGCCUUCGGGUCGUAAAGCUCUGUCCUCAAGGAAGAUAAUGACGGUACUUGAGGAGGAAGCCCCGGCUAGCUACGUGCCAGCAGCCGCGGUAA
RNAcentral lists this ribosomal RNA (468 nucleotides) under uncultured bacterium. Its description in RNAcentral is "partial 16S ribosomal RNA". It matches the Rfam family "Bacterial small subunit ribosomal RNA", at positions 28 to 523 of the family's 1533-position model. The record is from RNAcentral.